GACGAACGCUGGCGGCGUGCUUAACACAUGCAAGUCGAACGGAAAGGCCCUGCUUGCAGGGUACUCGAGUGGCGAACGGGUGAGUAACACGUGGGUGAUCUGCCCUGCACUUCGGGAUAAGCCUGGGAAACUGGGUCUAAUACCGGAUAGGAGCCAUUUUUAGUGUGAUGGUUGGAAAGUUUUUUCGGUGUAGGAUGAGCUCGCGGCCUAUCAGCUUGUUGGUGGGGUAAUGGCCUACCAAGGCGGCGACGGGUAGCCGGCCUGAGAGGGUGGACGGCCACAUUGGGACUGAGAUACGGCCCAGACUCCUACGGGAGGCAGCAGUGGGGAAUAUUGCACAAUGGGCGCAAGCCUGAUGCAGCGACGCCGCGUGGGGGAUGACGGCCUUCGGUUGUAAACUCCUUUCGCUAGGGACGAAGCUUUUUGUGACGGUACCUAGAUAAGAAGCACCGGCUAACUACGUG
Molecule: ribosomal RNA, 464 nt
Filed under: uncultured bacterium
Lineage: Bacteria
Description: partial 16S ribosomal RNA
Rfam family: Bacterial small subunit ribosomal RNA
Source: RNAcentral